GGAAGGCGGGGGGGUGGGACCGGGAGCGAACGGGAACGGGGGUUGGGGCGGCUGCGGAGCGCUCGCUGCGGCCGGCGCCCGGGAGGCAGGCGGCUCAGGGCCGCCCUUCGUGAGGUUCCCCGGAGGCGGCAGAAGGGCAGAGGGGAAGGAAGCGACAGCCGGGGACCUUCCGCCGCGGGGGUCUCCGGGACGCGGCAGCUGUCGGUGCCCGCGGAGCCCGGCGGGACGGUGGGGGAGCGCGAGGGGAACGGAGCGGCGAAAGAGGCGGCAGCUUCUUUCCUCAGUGGAUCCGUCUCACAGUCAGUGGCCCACGAUUGCUUGGCAACAGCAGAAGCGGAUUGAAGGGACCGGCCGCUGGAGGAUGCCGAAGACUCCCGGGUCACCAAUGGGAGCAGCUUUGCGUAAAGCGAGGGGUACGUGAAGCCGGGCGUGCGGUGCCGACUGCCCAGCAGGUAAGGGAAGCUAAAGCUUUACCUCCAUGGACUUCUGCCCAGAAAGCUGAAGAAAUUGCUCUCACGUGAGCUUUAGAGUUAUGCAAAGAGAAGAAGAUUAGUAGCUGCACUGAUUCUAAGCAGGUUUCUUGAAGGGUGCGGGCCCUUGAAGCCGUUUGAAAAGAAUAAAGUAUAUUAACGGCACAAGGAAGGCAGAUUAAACGUGAUGCUCCAGUUGCUGGAAGCUGUGCUGUUGCUAGAAAAGUUGCCGUCAUGCGUUGCAAAGGGCCUCAGAAGGGAAACGCUGAUCAGGAAACUGGCAAUAAAUUGGCAGACGCCGCUGUAAAACCAGCCACUGAAAGGACAGAGACCGAUACAUAAGCCACGUCUCUGACCCCAGGUGGCCGUGUCCUCCAGCCAACGUCAGGAAACUGUAACAAAGAGGAUGAGAAAUUAAUAGAAGAUUUAUAGCCGAAUCAGAAUUAGGGUCCAAAGGAGCCGUGACCGGCGACGGGAGAGUAGUGGCGCCUCGCGGUGCGAGGAGCUGAUGCGCUCUAUCAAGAGCAGACGAAAAGACGCCUGUCCCUGUUUUCUCUUCCCGCUUUUGAAGAGAAGCUGCCGAGUUAGCGUACGCUGCGGUGAAGUUCUACAAGAUGUAGCCCUCAUGAACCAGUUGACGUGAGGGAAAUGCUUUCUGACCGCCUGCACGCCGGCGAGGCGGCCGGAGGACCCGCUCUGUGCGGCUGCGGGACCCGCGGAGUCGAGGGCUCUCUCGGCGCGCCCUGGAGAUUUCUCUGGAGAGACUCCUCGUCUCGGUCGCAUCGCCGCGGGGACGGAUGAGGACCUCUGGUGAGGGGUCUUUCUUCGCUGAGAGCCGGGACCGGGCACGCGCUUGCGAGGCUUCCGUAAGUCGCGAGGGGGAGCUGUGACCGCCCCAUGCUCAGCAGACCCCCCAGCCCAGGUGGGGGGAGCAGCGCCGGAGCGGGAGACACAGCACCAUCCUCCGUCCCCAGCGUGCCGGGGCGCGGCUGCCAGCCUGUGGGACGUGGCUGCGGCUGUUCGGGGCGCUGCCCCCCCUUUUUGGGGGCUCUGAGCAGCCCGAUGUGCUGUUAAAGGUUGUGGUGGUGCGGGUCAGGGAUCCCCAGGCUGUGCCAAGACCGCAGGACGGCUGCUGGUGGAACAAAGUCAAGGACAACUUCUCAGAGGACAGAGGUGAGGCUGACUGGUCUAUAAUUACCCGGGUCCUCCUGCUUGCCCUUUUUGAAGACUGGAGUGACAUUUGCUUUCCUCCAAUCCUUGGGCACCUCCCCCGUUUCCCAAGACUUGGCAAAGAUGAUGGAGAGCGGUCCAGCAAUGACUUCAGCCGGCUCCCUCAGCACCCACAGAUGCAUCCCAUCUGGACCCAUGGAUUUAUGGAUGUCCAGACUAUUUAAUUGCUCCCUAACCCAGUCCUCAUCAACUAAAGCAAACUCCUCCGUUGACCUGGCUUCAUCCGGGGUCUCAGGGGUACAGGGCUCCCCAGGACGGCCUCCGGCAGAGUAGACAGAGACAAAGAAGGCAUUCAGCAAUUCUGCCUUCUCUGUAUCUUCUGCCACCAGGGCACCCACCCCGUUCAUCAGUGGGCCUACAUUGCCUCUGGUAUUAGUUUUAUCUGCUGUGCAUUUGAAAAAGUUCUUUUUGCUGUCCUUGACCCCUCUCGCCAGCUGUAAUUCUAAGGAGGCCUUGGCUAUCCUAGCUGCCUUCCUACAUCCUCUAACAGCAGCCUUAUAUUCUUCCCAAGUGGCCAGCCCCUGCUUCCAUGACCUGUAAACUCUCCUCUUCUGCUUGAGCAUACCCAACAGAUCCCUGUUCAACCACGCAGGCCUCCUGGCUCCCUUCCUUGACUCCCUUCGUGUGGGGAUGCUCUGAUCCUGAGCGUGGAAGAAGCAAUCUCUGAAUGCAAUCCAGCUAUCUCGGGCCCCUUUUCCUUCAAUCAGUCUUGCCCAUGGGAUUUCCCCCAGCAAUUGCUUGAAAAGGCCAAAGUUAGCCCUGCUAAAGUCCAGGGUUGCAAUUCUACUUGCUAUUCUGUUCCUGCCACCCAAGAUGCUGAACUCUACCAUCUCGUGGUCACUGCUACCCAGGCAGCCCUCAACCUUUACUGCUUCGACCAGACCCUCCUUGUUAGUGAGGAUGAGAUCCAGCAGUGCACCUCUCCUAGUCAGCUCCUCUACCAUCUGCAUGAGGAAGUUAUCAUCAAUGCACUGGAGGAACCUGUGGCUGGCUGGCUGAAUGGUCCUUCCAGCAAACAUCAGGGAAGUUAAAAUCCCCCACAACAACCAGGGCCUGUGACUGUGAGGCCACGCUCAACUGCCCAUAGAAGGCCUCAUCAACUUCCUCAGCCUGAUCUGGUGGCCUGUAGCAGAUGCUCACAACAGUGUCACCCCUGCCAGCCUGCCCCUUGAUCCUGACCCAUACACUCUCAACUCGCUCGUCAUCUACUCCUGGGCAGAAUUUAGUACAUUGUAGUUGCUCUCUCACAUAGAGAGCAACUCUACCACCACGCCUGGCUGGCCUGUCUUUCCUGAAAAGGGCAUAGCCAUCCAUGACCACAUUCCAGUCAUGUGAACUGUCCCACCAUGUUUCCGUAAUUGCCACCAGAUCAUAAUCUCCCGACCAAACAUAGGAUUCUAACUCCUCCUGCUUAUUCCCCAUGCUGCGUGCAUUGGUGUACAGGCAUUUCAGGGAGCGAGCAGAGCACACCAAUUUCUCCCUAGGGGCAUAGGAGGCCACCCGGUCCUCAUCAGAUUUAGAAUGCUGCCCCACUGGGACAAGCCCAGCUACAACCCCAUCCCACUUCGAGCCUAGUUUAAAGCUCUCCAAAUGAGCCCAGCUAAUUCCCGCCCCAGCAUCCUUUUGCCCCUGCGAGAUAAACCUUUCCCGCUUGACACUGUCCGGAUUGGUGACUUAUAAAACCCACCAUUAUAAAAAAAUCCAAAGCCCUGUCUGUAGCACCAGUCUUGGAGCCAACCAUUAAGAGACUGAAUUUUCCUAUUCCAUCCCACAUUGUCCCUUGAAGAAGGAAGGAGUGAAGAGAUGAUCACUUGAGCCCCUGAGUCUUUCACCAUCCUUCCCAAGACCUUGAAAUCGUUCUUCAUUCCCCUCAGACUACGGGAAGCAGCUUCCUCCCCAUCUGUCUGGAAGACCAGCAGCGGGUAGUAGUCUGUUGGGUGCACCAGUUUGGGGAGCUCUCUAGCAAUAUCCUUGAUCCGGGCUCCAGGUAGACUACAAACUUCCCUAAGAUGAGGGUCAACCCUGCAUAUUGGGCCCUCAUGUAUCUGGUUCUCCAGGAAAAUGCAGCUAAUAUGAAGCUUUAGCUGACAGGCAAAUUCACUGAAAGAGAAACUUGUUUUUUAACGAAACCAGGACAGCCCCCCACCCCAAUCCCCUCAGAACUCCUCUGAUUCCCAUCUGCUCCUCUCAGGACAGCUGAGCUUGUCUUUUGGGGCCCCUGAGAGCCCCCAUUUACCUUCUUUUACCUACCUUUGUUGUUGUUCCCAGCCUAUCCUGGUGUUUUCCAUCCUUCAGGACUUACUUAUUACUGUUGUGAGAGUCCGAGAGAAAAUGAGGAGUGUCUGUGACUUACAACUGUCGUUGUUGAUCUACAGUGUUUUAGAGAUGGAUUCUUGCAGGAUUUAUUUCUGGUUCGUCCUUCACUCCUCCCCAGAAUGCAGUGCUGGUCCGAGUUCCCCAGCACACGUGUGUGUGUCCAGCCGGGUACGCCUGGGGGAGCGCGUCAGGGGGGGCAGACGGCUGAAUGGACGCGCUGUCAGCGACUGCGGAACGAGCUGGGGCUUCUUUGACCGUGUCCAGCCUUGUGCGUGUGGUUUGUUUUCACUUGCAGGCUGAAACAGCAGUUUCCUUAAUUAAAAACACCCCAACAUGUCACCCAACCCCCAACAAAAAUAACACCAAAAAUGCCACUGAAAAAAACACAGGAAGUUUUUAAAUAAUUUCCUUUAGCUUUCUCCCCCCGCCACUCUGCCCUGCUGCGUUCAGUGCAGUGAAUGACCGUGAGGAGAUGGCUGUGGAUCUGGCUGUUGAAGGGUGUGUGAAGGAGAAGGAGGUGUGUGUAGAGCAGGAUUGGUUGUGGAGGUGAGUGCAGCUGGUUUGGGUGUGGGGCUGUAAAUUCUUUUUGGAGGCUUCCUAGUUUCUGGUGUCACCUGCAGGGUGAAGUGUGAUUCAGUAUGCAGGUUUGAAAGGUGCAACGUGCAGAGCUCCCUCAUUUGCCACCAGAUCUCCAAAUCACAGAGACAGUGUCGCUGUGCAGCUGCUAAGGACAGCGCAUCUCGUGCAGAAUAGCAUCCUUUGUGCUCCGUGUGUGUGUUCCUCCUUUGAAAUGAAGUUGCGCUGCCCGGUGUUCCACGUUACGUGUGGUACCUGCUGGGCUGAGUCUCCUCCCCGCGCUCCGGUCGGUUCCGUCGCGCUGCCGCAGCCCCAGCAGCAGCCUGGCGUUCGUUGGACGCGUUGUUGGCGGAGCCGGCACCGACAAUCUCCGGACACGUCGAGGCGCUGCGGUGGGUUUUCCUGGAAAUUCCAAGGUCCUGGUGUUUUAUUAUUUGAACUACUUACUUACUGUAAGACAUUUAGAAUUAAAACUUAAAUAAGAGCAACCAGAA
Columba livia (rock pigeon) is the source of this 5086-nucleotide long non-coding RNA. RefSeq lists it as uncharacterized. The record is from RefSeq and is a predicted model, not a curated record. Lineage: Eukaryota; Metazoa; Chordata; Aves; Columbiformes; Columbidae. The transcript has 7 exons.